This 253-nucleotide ribosomal RNA is filed under the name uncultured bacterium. RNAcentral describes it as "partial 16S ribosomal RNA". It matches the Rfam family "Bacterial small subunit ribosomal RNA", at positions 524 to 776 of the family's 1533-position model. The record is from RNAcentral.
UACGAAGGGUGCAAGCGUUACUCGGAAUUACUGGGCGUAAAGCGUGCGUAGGUGGUUCGUUAAGUCUGAUGUGAAAGCCCUGGGCUCAACCUGGGAAUGGCAUUGGAAACUGGCGACCUAGAGUGCGGUAGAGGGUAGUGGAAUUCCCGGUGUAGCAGUGAAAUGCGUAGAGAUCGGGAGGAACAUCCGUGGCGAAGGCGACUACCUGGACCGAAACUGACGCUGAUGCGCGAAAGCCAGGGGAGCAAACGGG